Molecule: ribosomal RNA, 483 nt
Filed under: uncultured bacterium
Lineage: Bacteria
Description: partial 16S ribosomal RNA
Rfam family: Bacterial small subunit ribosomal RNA
Source: RNAcentral
GACGAACGCUGGCGGCGUGCUUAACACAUGCAAGUCGAACGAUGAACCCGGAGCUUGCUCCGGCGGAUUAGUGGCGAACGGGUGAGUAACACGUGAGUAACCUGCCCUUGACUCUGGGAUAACUGCUAGAAAUGGUAGCUAAUACCGGAUACGACCCUCGGCGGCAUCGCCAGGGGGUGGAAAGAAUUUCGGUCAAGGAUGGACUCGCGGCCUAUCAGCUAGUUGGUGAGGUAACGGCUCACCAAGGCGACGACGGGUAGCCGGCCUGAGGGGGUGACCGGCACACUGGGACUGAGACACGGCCCAGACUCCUACGGGAGGCAGCAGUGGGGAAUAUUGCACAAUGGGCGCAAGCCUGAUGCAGCAACGCCGCGUGAGGGAUGACGGCCUUCGGGUUGUAAACCUCUUUUAGUAGGGAAGAAGCGAAAGUGACGGUACCUGCAGAAAAAGCACCGGCUAACUACGUGCCAGCCGCCGCAGUAA